This is a long non-coding RNA of Bombus impatiens (common eastern bumble bee), 359 nucleotides long. RefSeq lists it as uncharacterized. The transcript has 3 exons. NCBI's taxonomy places the organism in Eukaryota, Metazoa, Arthropoda, Insecta, Hymenoptera, Apidae. The record is from RefSeq and is a predicted model, not a curated record.
CCUCAGGACAUUGACUUAGCCUUGACGCAUGAAACAAAAUGACAAAUGAACUCCGGACAAAACAAUGUCGCCGCUACAUGCAACCGUCGAAUGAAGACGAAUUUGAAUUUUCCGACUCUCCCUCGACCAAUAUAAAUAAACGAACACGAUCGCGAACGACGAGCGUCUACCAAGUUACGCGACGAGCCUUUACGAGUAUUCCGCGAUUUUAUUUUGCGAUUUAUACUUCGUACCAACGACUCACGUUUACUUAUCGAUUUAAAUAUAUUCGACGGUUACAACAACGAGUAAUCUCGUCAUUAAUUCUCAAGUACCUACAUCCUCUUCACAUAAACAUCUACACGAUUGGGUAUUGCUGU